ACGUAGGGUCCAAGCGUUAAUCGGAAUUACUGGGCGUAAAGCGUGCGCAGGCGGUUUUGCAAACCCGAGGUGAAAUCCCCGGGCUAAACCUGGGAAUUCCAUUGGUGACGGCACGGCUAGGGUGUGUCAGAGGGGGGUAGAAUUCCACGUGUAGCAGUGAAAUGCGUAGAGAUGUGGAGGAAUACCGAUGGCGAAGGCAGCCCCCUGGGAUAACACUGACGCUCAUGCACGAAAGCGUGGGGAGCAAACAG
RNAcentral lists this ribosomal RNA (251 nucleotides) under uncultured prokaryote. RNAcentral's name for it is "partial 16S rRNA". It matches the Rfam family "Bacterial small subunit ribosomal RNA", at positions 525 to 775 of the family's 1533-position model. The record is from RNAcentral.